This 380-nucleotide ribosomal RNA is filed under the name uncultured bacterium. RNAcentral describes it as "bacterial SSU rRNA". It matches the Rfam family "Bacterial small subunit ribosomal RNA", at positions 29 to 412 of the family's 1533-position model. The record is from RNAcentral.
AUUGAACGCUGGCGGCAUGCUUUACACAUGCAAGUCGAACGGUAACAGGCCUUCGGGUGCUGACGAGUGGCGAACGGGUGAGUAAUGUAUCGGAACGUGCCCAAUCGUGGGGGAUAACGUAGCGAAAGUUACGCUAAUACCGCAUAAGCCCUGAGGGGGAAAGUGGGGGACCGCAAGGCCUCACGCGAAUGGAGCGGCCGAUGUCAGAUUAGCUAGUUGGUGGGGUAAAGGCCCACCAAGGCGACGAUCUGUAGCGGGUCUGAGAGGAUGAUCCGCCACACUGGGACUGAGACACGGCCCAGACUCCUACGGGAGGCAGCAGUGGGGAAUUUUGGACAAUGGGCGCAAGCCUGAUCCAGCCAUGCCGCGUGCGGGACGAA